Diospyros lotus (date-plum) is the source of this 1534-nucleotide long non-coding RNA. RefSeq lists it as uncharacterized. NCBI's taxonomy places the organism in Eukaryota, Viridiplantae, Streptophyta, Magnoliopsida, Ericales, Ebenaceae. The transcript is spliced from 3 exons. The record is from RefSeq and is a predicted model, not a curated record.
ACCGAUUGGAUUGACGUUGCCCCAGUAAGUCUCGACCUGAGGGUGUUGCAGUGGAUCGCCGUACACCUCGCUGGUGCUCGUUAGCAAGAACCGCGCACCGACUCUCUUGGCCAGCCCCAGCAUGUUGAGAGUUCCCACUACAUUUGAUAUGAUGGUCUUGACGGGGUUGAACUUGUAAUGGACGGGAGAGGCGGGGCAAGCGAGGUGGUAGAUCUGAUCGACCUCCAGGAGGAGAGGCUCCACGACGUCGUGUCGGAUGAGCUCGAACCUAGGGUUUCCGAAAUGGUGCAUCACGUUCUCCUUCCGGCCAGUGAAGAAAUUGUCCACGACAAUCACGCUGUCGCCUCUCGCGAUCAGACGGUCCACCAGGUGGCUCCCGACGAACCCCGCGCCGCCGGUGACCACGAUCCUCAGCCCCUUCCGUUUCAGUCCCAGUGGCACCUUUCCUCCCGAAUGAACCGACCCGAUCCCGCCGUGGCCCUGGUAGAACACGCCCCGAGUCACACGAGUCGACUCGGAGAUCAAGUGCGAGUCUGAGAUCUGAUCAUAGUUCUCGCCGGAAACUCCGCGGGAGGUGGCGGGAAGGAGAGUGAAGAAAAGCGUGGCGAUGGCCAUUCCGACGACAACGAACACGAGCCGCUGUUCCCGGAGCACGUAUCGAAUCGGACGAAUCACGGACAGCCACGGCUUCGGGCGCUUCGGCGAGUAAGCGUCAGCUAUUGUUUGAGCCUCGUGGCCCCUGUAUAUCAACUCCGACGACCCCAUGUUCACUCCUCUCUCUGUCUCUGCAAAUCAAUGAAGAGAGAAGAGGGGUUCCGGAAGAGGCGAUGAUGGGGAAAAUAUAUAAGACGAAACGGCAAUGGUGAUGGCGGUGGUAGUUUGAAGCCGGAAAAUCGGCCGCUUUUAAUCGGCGACGCGUGGUUGAUGAUGGGUGUGAGGGUCGGUAUAAAUAGUCCCGCUUGUUUGGCCACAAUUACGUAAUUGUCCUCGGGUGCUCUGAAAAGUAAACGGUUGCUACCCAGGUUGGGAAAUUGGAGAUCCACUCCAAAAACUGCUAGUGACAGGGGGCAAUUUUACUGUACUACCCCUGGGAGGUUACCAUUAACUCGGAGCCAUGUGUGCCAGUAAAGACCAAUAUGCGAUCGCCACGUGUCAAGACUUAGGAGCUCCGCUUAUCUUUAUAAUCUUUAUUAUGAUUUUGAACUGGAAAGAGAUAAAGAAGAAGAUUAAGUCAACCAAUGAUAUCUUUAAAUAUCCCAAGAAUUAUCUCUAUUAGGGAAGAUUAUCUUUUCUCCCCAUGGAAAGGGGAUCAACCUCUCCUUUUGAAAUAUAUCUUAUCUCCUAAGGGAAAGGCCACGGGACAUCUAUAAAUAGAGGGCAACCUCUACAGGUAUGGGGAUCUGAUCUGAUUCCUAAGGGACUCAUUGAUUAUCUUUCAUUACUGUUAUUAUGCUCCUCAAAAACCCUGUGAACUGACUUGAGCGUCGGAGGGAUCACGGGGAGCAAGUCUCCACCCCUUUUUGCAGGUACUUGG